GAUGAACGCUAGCGAUAGGCCUAACACAUGCAAGUCGAGGGGCAGCAUAAGGAAGUAGCAAUACUUUCUGGUGGCGACCGGCGCACGGGUGAGUAACACGUAUGCAACCUGCCUUCAACAAGGGCAUAACCCGUUGAAAGACGGACUAAUACCCUAUAAUACAGGGGCCCCGCAUGGGGAUAUUUGUUAAAGAUUUAUCGGUUGAAGAUGGGCAUGCGUUCCAUUAGCUGGUUGGUGGGGUAACGGCUCACCAAGGCAACGAUCAGUAGCCGACCUGAGAGGUUUAUCCCCCACACUGGUACUGAGACACGGACCAGACUCCUACGGGAGGCAGCAGUGAGGAAUAUUGGUCAAUGGACGCAAGUCUGAACCAGCCACGUCGCGUGAAGGAAGACGGCCCUACGGGUUGUAAACUUCUUUUGUAAGGGAAUAAAGUGUAGUACGCGUACUAUUUUGCAUGUACCUUACGAAUAAGGAUCGGCUAACUCCGUGCCAGCAGCCGCGGUAAUUCACUA
This 515-nucleotide ribosomal RNA is filed under the name uncultured bacterium. Its description in RNAcentral is "bacterial SSU rRNA". It matches the Rfam family "Bacterial small subunit ribosomal RNA", at positions 28 to 529 of the family's 1533-position model. The record is from RNAcentral.